RNAcentral lists this ribosomal RNA (750 nucleotides) under Triticum aestivum (bread wheat). RNAcentral describes it as "partial small subunit ribosomal RNA". The record is from RNAcentral. Lineage: Eukaryota; Viridiplantae; Streptophyta; Magnoliopsida; Poales; Poaceae.
AUGGCCACGGCCCUCUCCCUCGGCGGUGCCGGCGCCGGCGCCGCCGGCCACCUCCUCCGCAGGCGCCCCGCCUCCGUGGCCAGGUGCUGCGCCGCGCCCCGCCGCAGCUCCCCCUCGCGCCGCCGGGCCCCGACGCGGCGCCUGGCCGCCUCGCGCGCGGACGACUCCUCGCCGGCGCCCUUCGAGAUGACGGUGGAGGGCGCGCUCAAGCUGCUCGGCGUCGCCGAGGGCGCCUCCUUCGACGAGAUCCUCCGCGCCAAGAAGGCCGUCGUCGCCUCCUGCAAGGACGACCCGGACGCCGUCGCCCAGGUCGAGGUUGCCUAUGACAUGCUGCUAAUGCAGAGCUUAUCGCGCCGGAGGGCUGGCAAGGUUGUCGAUAGCAGCGUCCGCUACGCCGAUGUGAAACCUGUCAAGACUGCAGGAACAGCACCGCAAUGGAUGCAGUCAGCCAUGAAGAACGUGCCUCUCACAUUGGAGGCCCCAGCUUCGAGCAGCUUGGGCAUCCAGUCAUCCAUUUAUGCAACAGGAUUCGGUGCUUCAUUGUAUUUUCUGUCCAAGAAAAACAUGAACUUAGGUAAGGCCGCAUUGAUCACCGUCGGGGGGCUGGCAGUCGGUGCGACGGUCGGGUCCGGCGUGGAGAGCUGGCUGCAGGUUGACAUUGUGCCCUUCCUGGGCAUCCACUCCCCCGCGGUCGUCGUCACCGAAUUCAUUCUCUUCUCGCAAUUGUUGGUGUCGCUGUUCGUUAGGUAG